UGCAGUCGAACGAUGAACCACUUCGGUGGGGAUUAGUGGCGAACGGGUGAGUAACACGUGGGCAAUCUGCCCUUCACUCUGGGACAAGCCCUGGAAACGGGGUCUAAUACCGGAUAACACUUCUGCUCUCCUGAGCAGAGGUUAAAAGCUCCGGCGGUGAAGGAUGAGCCCGCGGCCUAUCAGCUUGUUGGUGAGGUAAUGGCUCACCAAGGCGACGACGGGUAGCCGGCCUGAGAGGGCGACCGGCCACACUGGGACUGAGACACGGCCCAGACUCCUACGGGAGGCAGCAGUGGGGAAUAUUGCACAAUGGGCGAAAGCCUGAUGCAGCGACGCCGCGUGAGGGAUGACGGCCUUCGGGUUGUAAACCUCUUUCAGCAGGGAAGAAGCGAAAGUGACGGUACCUGCAGAAGAAGCGCCGGCUAACUACGUGCCAGCAGCCGCGGUAAUACGUAGGGCGCAAGCGUUGUCCGGAAUUAUUGGGCGUAAAGAGCUCGUAGGCGGCUUGUCACGUCGGGUGUGAAAGCCCGGGGCUUAACCCCGGGUCUGCAUUCGAUACGGGCUAGCUAGAGUGUGGUAGGGGAGAUCGGAAUUCCUGGUGUAGCGGUGAAAUGCGCAGAUAUCAGGAGGAACACCGGUGGCGAAGGCGGAUCUCUGGGCCAUUACUGACGCUGAGGAGCGAAAGCGUGGGGAGCGAACAGGAUUAGAUACCCUGGUAGUCCACGCCGUAACGGUGGGCACUAGGUGUUGGCGACAUCCACGUCG
RNAcentral lists this ribosomal RNA (765 nucleotides) under Streptomyces sp. YIM 48829. Its description in RNAcentral is "bacterial SSU rRNA". It matches the Rfam family "Bacterial small subunit ribosomal RNA", at positions 56 to 839 of the family's 1533-position model. Lineage: Bacteria; Bacillati; Actinomycetota; Actinomycetes; Kitasatosporales; Streptomycetaceae. The record is from RNAcentral.